RNAcentral lists this ribosomal RNA (505 nucleotides) under uncultured bacterium. RNAcentral's name for it is "bacterial SSU rRNA". It matches the Rfam family "Bacterial small subunit ribosomal RNA", at positions 19 to 518 of the family's 1533-position model. The record is from RNAcentral.
AUGGCUCAGGAUGAACGCUAGCGGCAGGCUUAACACAUGCAAGUCGAGGGGCAUCGGGAGUAGCAAUACUUGCCGGCGACCGGCGCAAGGGUGCGUAACGCGUGAGCAACAUGCCCGUAUCAGGGGGAUAAUCCAUGGAAACGUGGUCUAAUACCCCAUAGUAAUUAUGUAAGGCAUCUUAUAUAAUUUAAAGCUUUGGUGGAUACGGAUUGGCUCGCGUGACAUUAGCUAGAUGGUAAGGUAACGGCUUACCAUGGCUACGAUGUCUAGGGGUUCUGAGAGGAAGGUCCCCCACACUGGAACUGAGACACGGUCCAGACUCCUACGGGAGGCAGCAGUGAGGAAUAUUGGACAAUGGAUGGAAGUCUGAUCCAGCCAUGCCGCGUGCAAGGAAGACGGCCCUAUGGGUUGUAAACUGCUUUUGUAUGGGAGCAAUAAGGGCUACGCGUAGUCCGAUGAGAGUACCAUACGAAUAAGCACCGGCUAACUCCGUGCCAGCCGCAGC